Long non-coding RNA from Aotus nancymaae (Ma's night monkey), 2330 nucleotides. Lineage: Eukaryota; Metazoa; Chordata; Mammalia; Primates; Aotidae. The record is from Ensembl.
CAGCUGGGUUAGUCGCCGAGGCUGCGCCGAUCGCUAGGCCGAAACCUAAUCAGGAGCUGAUCUUUGAUGGCAGCCUCUGGAGGGACAAAGAAGGCGCAGAGCUGCGGGAGUUGGGCGCGACAGCCUGGCGCCCGCCCCGACCAACGUGCGAGACUAAGGACCUCAACUGUUAGGCAGAAGGAACGAAUGUACCGUUGAUAUGGACAGACUGCAAGAAGGGAGGGACUGCAAGAAGGGGAGCUUCUCUCCACCCCACAGUACACGCACAUUCCAUUGAUCUUAACUUGAUUCUGGCUCCGAGGGACACAUACCUGCCCUUAGCACGACUAGUUCUUUCUCCAUUUCUAGCAGCAAGAAGGACGACUGUCAAAGCCCAGAGCCUGCCCAAGGUGAGGCCUCUGUUAAGAGACCUUCCACCAGGAGCCUCGCCUAAGACCCACACAGCUGCUAUCUCAGGGGAAUGGUGAACCAAAGUGAAUCUGACUUCUCCUGGAGACUUCUAGGAAACUUAGCCUUAUUUUUUAAGUCCCUGAAAAUUUGUAUCUGUGAAUCAGCCCUGGCAUGGACUGUACCCCAAAUUCAUACCCUAGUGAUCAAGUAAUCUUAAAUAGUGAAUUUAGUUUAAAAUAUUCUUAGACUACUGAGACCCCCUGAGCACCUGGCAAAAGCAAACACAGAUUCUCUGUGGAAGAAUGUACCUGUGUGCUACUCAUUGUCCCUAUAAAUUUAUUUGUGGAGAUUCUUUGACGUGUGUGUGUGUGUGUGUGUGUGUGUGUGUGUGUCUGUACAUAUAAAUAUAUACAGUACACACAAACACACAUCGAACCCAAGAACUAGCACGCAACAGGUAGCAGAAACCAUCCACAAAGACCUCAGCUAUGGAAGUUAGCCAACACAUCGUAAAGCUACUACUACACUAUGACUUUAAAAAAAGAGUGAUGAAACAAUUUUAUUUUAAAAUCUCAAUUUUUAAACUGGAAUUACAUUCUUUGCCACCAUUUAAACAUAAAAUAUGAAAUUGUAUUCAUCAGGAAACAAAGAUGUGCAAUGCAUAAUUUUUUAGGUUGCACGCAAGCAAAAUCUUCAGAGAACUGUGUGCUUUUCCAUGGGUGAGGGCAUGGUUGUCUUUAGGCAUAUGAGCAUCUGUGGCCUCUGGGUUCCCAAUGACAGAGGCCUCAUUUCAUGUACCAGUGUCUCCCUGAGGCCAACACAGGCCUUGACACAUAGUCGGGUGUCACUAAAUUUUGGAUAAAUUAGUAAUGUAUCGUUUUCCAGGAGAUACUUUAUGUCACUGAAAUCUGAAAUAGCAACAUGUGUGUGAAUGCUUUUCUUAGGAAGAGACAAAUUCUACAAUAGCUGAAAAAUUGAUUCAGUAACAGGCUUAGUGUGUCUAUACUCUUAUUAUAUUGGGAUUUCGUGGUUAUAAUAAAUUCAUUUUCAGUACUUCAUGCAAAUAUGCUCAACAGUGAUAUAUACUGAGAUCAAAUAAUCAAAAUAGAGCACCAUGUGUUUCUCAUACAAUAUUCACAUAAAAAUUACUUACAAUUUAACCCAAAUUGCCACUGAAAUGAAGGCCUUGAAGACCACAGUUGUUCUUUUCUCCAAACUUUUGUUAUAAACAUUUGGAAAUAUUCAGAAAAGCUAAAGGAUUAAUAUAAUGAACACCUGCUUGCUCAACCUAGAUUCAACAAUUGUUUAGCCAUAUUUAUUUCAAUGAUAUUCAUUUCUGUAUCAUUUGGAAAUAUAUAUAUAAUAUCAUAAUAUUUCUAUAUAUAUGUAUGUAGUUCUCUUUUGUUUUGAAACAGUUUUGCUCUAUUGCCUAGGCUAGAGUGCAAUAGUGGGAUCUCAGCUCACUGCCACCUGUGCCUCCUAGGCUCAAGUGCUUCUGGUGCCUCAGCCUCCCAAGUAGCUGGAAUUAUAGAUGUGCACCACCACACCUGGCUAACUUUCAUAUUUUUAGUAGAGAUGGGGUUUCACCAUGUUAGCUAGGCUGAUAGCAAACUCUUCAGUUCAAGUAAUCCUCCUGCCUUGGCCUCCCAAAGUGCUGGGAUUACAGGCACAAGCCACCGACCUCGGCCAAAAUAUAUAUAUUUGAACAUCUUUGCCCCUAAAUACUUUAGCAUGUAUCUCCUAAGGUUAGAAUAAUCUCCUUGAAAACCAUUUCCACAUCAUAAUAACAUAUAGACUCUAAAGUUUCUUAACAAAGGUCCAAUCUGGUUUCCUGUAUUGCCACUGGUUUAGUCUCUGUAGUCCAUCUCCUUUAGUCUAGAAUGGUCCCUGUACCUUUUGUUUUCCAAUGACAAUGCCUUUCGGAAGUCCACAGAACAAUU